RNAcentral lists this ribosomal RNA (745 nucleotides) under uncultured bacterium. RNAcentral describes it as "bacterial SSU rRNA". It matches the Rfam family "Bacterial small subunit ribosomal RNA", at positions 1 to 745 of the family's 1533-position model. The record is from RNAcentral.
UCUGAGAGUUUGAUCCUGGCUCAGAUUGAACGCUGGCGGCAUGCCUUACACAUGCAAGUCGAGCGGCAGCGCGGACUUCGGUCUGGCGGCGAGUGGCGAACGGGUGAGUAAUACAUCGGAACGUACCCUGUUGUGGGGGAUAACUAGUCGAAAGAUUAGCUAAUACCGCAUACGACCUGAGGGUGAAAGCGGGGGACCGAAAGGCCUCGCGCAGCAGGAGCGGCCGAUGUCUGAUUAGCUAGUUGGUGGGGUAAAGGCCCACCAAGGCGACGAUCAGUAGCUGGUCUGAGAGGACGAUCAGCCACACUGGGACUGAGACACGGCCCAGACUCCUACGGGAGGCAGCAGUGGGGAAUUUUGGACAAUGGGGGCAACCCUGAUCCAGCAAUGCCGCGUGUGUGAAGAAGGCCUUCGGGUUGUAAAGCACUUUUGUCCGGAAAGAAAUUGCUCUGGCUAAUACCUGGGGUAGACGACGGUACCGGAAGAAUAAGCACCGGCUAACUACGUGCCAGCAGCCGCGGUAAUACGUAGGGUGCGAGCGUUAAUCGGAAUUACUGGGCGUAAAGCGUGCGCAGGCGGUUUUGUAAGACAGGCGUGAAAUCCCCGGGCUCAACCUGGGAAUUGCGCUUGUGACUGCAAGGCUAGAGUGCGUCAGAGGGGGUAGAAUUCCACGUGUAGCAGUGAAAUGCGUAGAGAUGUGGAGGAAUACCGAUGGCGAAGGCAGCCCCCUGGGACGUGACUGACG